Rana temporaria (common frog) is the source of this 600-nucleotide long non-coding RNA. RefSeq lists it as uncharacterized. The record is from RefSeq and is a predicted model, not a curated record. NCBI's taxonomy places the organism in Eukaryota, Metazoa, Chordata, Amphibia, Anura, Ranidae. The transcript has 3 exons.
GAUCUAGAGCCGCGCUGCGGCCGUACAAAGUCGUACGCCCGUCAGCUAGUGGUUAAGCAUGUUAUUGACCAGUGUCUGCAUAUGCAGAGAUUGACGCCUUGUGAUAGGUGCGGUUUUUAUACAUGUAAUUAAUGGAUAAGGAUAAACAACAAAAAAUAAUAAAUGUACAGAAAAUGUAAAGACUUUUAAUGUAUGAAUGAAGACUGAAGUAUUUAUGAAUGAAGGCUGCAGUAUUUCAAUUCUCCACAAGAUGGUGAUCUUACUCCUGAGCGUGGAACGCAAAGAAGGAAGUGAUGUCAUGUACGGACAGGAAGUGAUGUAGGGUAAAAGACAGGAAGUUCCAGAGGAGAGGUGACUUGUUAGGAAAUAGCGUACAGACAUUACUGGAUCUUGAGAAUUAUAAAAUAGUGAAGGAAACAUCUGGAGAUCCAUAAACACCCAGCAGCCAUCUUCACAGGACAUCGCCCAUCACAGUGUCUUCACCUCACUGUCUGACAAUAGAGGUAACCAGUGCCAGGAAGAUUCUAGAAGUCACCAAGAAGAUCACCGAGCUGACAGGAGAGGUUCCUAUAAGGUGUCAGGAGGUCAUUGUCUAUUUCU